AAAGUGGAAGAUGAAGAACAAAUGAUCAGGCGAAGACCUCCUGAAUCAAUCCAACCAAUAUCCUCUCUUCCACAUCUUCAACAACAUCUUCUGCCUCAUUCAUUGAUUCUCGAAUCGGCCACCACCAGCGCAAGCCUAAAAUUCCGUUUGUUACUUCAUUGAUUUUUCUGUAAUUUCUUUCCAUGCCGUCACUGGCAGUCGGCGGCGAUUCCUCCGGCGAGAUCCACAAUCUCGAGCUCCCUGCAUUUCAUAAUGUUCAUACCAUUGGGAUUAAGACGGAAGAGCUCAUUCGCGCGAUUGGAAGGCGGUGGAUUGCUCGACAUCGGACAUUUCGGCGUAGUUCCAGGUUUGGUAACUGAUCUUUCAUUGUCUAUGUACUUCGAGCUUUCUGUUGCGCAGCAUGCGCGAAUGAGAGAACUUUGGCUAUCACUACUGUACUCUGUAACGUGGAAAGAAUUCAUGAAAAUUUUGAUCUCAACAAAGAAAGCAUGCGUAAAAUUAUCUCACGUCUCAGAUACUGAGAAUAGACAGAAGAACAGCAGCUGAUUAAACAUAUCUAGAUAGGACUGAAGAACUUCAUCCUUCUUGAUUUAGAAUUUAAGCCUCAAUUAUAUGUUGUUGUCUGAAAAUUCGGAUGAUUAUACUUUCUGUGUCAUCGACAUAAUUAUUUGUUGUUUUAUUCCUGCAUCAAUAAAGACUUUCUUCCCUCUA
Long non-coding RNA from Cucurbita pepo subsp. pepo (vegetable marrow), 711 nucleotides. RefSeq lists it as uncharacterized. The record is from RefSeq and is a predicted model, not a curated record. Lineage: Eukaryota; Viridiplantae; Streptophyta; Magnoliopsida; Cucurbitales; Cucurbitaceae.